UUGAACUGAAGAGUUUGAUCCUGGCUCAGAUUGAACGCUGGCGGCAUGCCUUACACAUGCAAGUCGAACGGCAGCACGGGCUUCGGCCUGGUGGCGAGUGGCGAACGGGUGAGUAAUACAUCGGAACAUGUCCUGUAGUGGGGGAUAGCCCGGCGAAAGCCGGAUUAAUACCGCAUACGAUCCACGGAUGAAAGCGGGGGACCUUCGGGCCUCGCGCUAUAGGGUUGGCCGAUGGCUGAUUAGCUAGUUGGUGGGGUAAAGGCCUACC
RNAcentral lists this ribosomal RNA (268 nucleotides) under Burkholderia ubonensis. RNAcentral's name for it is "partial 16S ribosomal RNA". It matches the Rfam family "Bacterial small subunit ribosomal RNA", at positions 1 to 269 of the family's 1533-position model. Lineage: Bacteria; Pseudomonadati; Pseudomonadota; Betaproteobacteria; Burkholderiales; Burkholderiaceae. The record is from RNAcentral.